AUUGAACGCUGGCGGCAUGCCUUACACAUGCAAGUCGAACGGUAACGCGGGGCAACCUGGCGACGAGUGGCGAACGGGUGAGUAACGCAUCGGAACGUGCCCAGUAGCGGGGGAUAGCCCGGCGAAAGCCGGAUUAAUACCGCAUACGACCUACGGGUGAAAGGGGGGGAUCGCAAGACCUCCCGCUAUUGGAGCGGCCGAUGUCAGAUUAGGUAGUUGGUGGGGUAAAGGCCUACCAAGCCGACGUUCUGUAGCUGGUCUGAGAGGACGACCAGCCACACUGGGACUGAGACACGGCCCAGACUCCUACGGGAGGCAGCAGUGGGGAAUUUUGGACAAUGGGCGAAAGCCUGAUCCAGCCAUGCCGCGUGCGGGAAGAAGGCCUUCGGGUUGUAAACCGCUUUUGUCAGGGAAGAAAUCUUCUGAGCUAAUACCUCGGGAGGAUGACGGUACCUGAAGAAUAAGCACCGGCUAACUACGUGCCAGCCGCCGCCGUAA
Molecule: ribosomal RNA, 498 nt
Filed under: uncultured bacterium
Lineage: Bacteria
Description: partial 16S ribosomal RNA
Rfam family: Bacterial small subunit ribosomal RNA
Source: RNAcentral